CCAAUUCUCUCCCUCAUCCCACAGGGUUGGGGAGUGAGUGAGUGGCUGGGGGGUGCUCAGCUGCCAACCGAGCUGCCACUCCUCUGUAAAUCAUAACAGCAGUGCCCCAGGCACACGACAUCUGAAUGGUGGGACACAAUCGGCAUCCACUGAGCAUCUGCAGAUUAGGAGUGCAGCAGCGUACAGGAGGAUUAGCCAUGGAAGUUUAGAAGAAAUCACAAGUAUGACAAGAGAUCUCCACUCAGCAAAACAUCAUAUUAAAGAUGGAGGAAGUCAGAAAUAUAAAAGGUGUGGUAUUUACAAAGACAGCUGAGUGAGUCUUCCAAUAGCCACGUUCAUUCACAUGUUUCCAGGCUCUCCUGACUGAGGGUGGGGUCCCGCAGGCACCAGCUUUCCUUGCCCUGCAAUCCUGACCCACUCCAAAGGCAGUGCUCCAAAGUCCCCUCUCUCCAACUGAUAAGGGGACAUGAGUCACAGGGCAAAAAUUCUGUAUGAUCACAGUAUAUACCAUCCCUUUUCCAUUAUUAAACAUUAGCAGGGGAUUUAAUGAAAAAAUACAAUGUGUCCUAACUUUGAACUAACUUUGAACUGGCUCAGCCACUCAGCUUUCUUUUAACUAAGUUCACUUUAAAGUAGUCUUUUCAAAAAGUCUAAGCAUGCUGGAAAAAAAAGAAAACUAAUUCUGUGGCUUGCCUUACGUCCCUUCCACACAGGAAUCCUCUCUCCAGCUUGUGUAUUUGGAUCCUGGGCAAAUGUUUGGGGGGAUAGCAACAGCUGAACCAGUGACUCUGUCAGAUCUCAAGACUGUGAAAUGCUGUCAUUCCUCUGUGAUUUACAGCAACGAGGCAAACAAAGAAUUGUCUUAACACGGAUUAGUGAAAAAAAAGCAUUAUUUUACUCCUACCCGUGUUCUCAAACAUUUGGAAGUCUUUUUCUUCCUCACAUGGGACAAAAUACUUCAGCACUAACAACAGAUUAUCAGCCACUGAAAAUAAAGUUUCUAAGUGUCAGUGACCUUUAUUACUGUAUUGCAACCAGUGUGACCUACGAUACGGUACAUUAAUUAGUAGGUGGCAAGUAAGUUGGUUUUGAGCUAAAUCUGGUGCAGUUUUACGAAAAGCAGUGGAGCAUCUGAGAAGGCAUAACUAAAGGGACAGCAUGGUGCAAAUGUAGAGAGGGAGUAAGGACGGGUGAAGCAGGAGAAACUGGCCCAGAGGCAGGAACUGAGGCCAAAAAGAAAAAGGGCUAUAGCAAUGACUGCUGCCAAGAACAUUGUCUCAGAAAGCUGACAGCAGGACUGGGUUGGCCAAGAUUUACUGCAGGUGAUGUCUGUCAGGUUGCCAUAGGCAGGGUGGUGCUGCGUCUGAAAAGGUGGGGCCCAAAAGCAGUUGCAAUGAGUUCAUUUUCUUCAGCAACUGCCUAAAACAUAAAAGAUGUUCUUAUCCCCUAUACAGAGCAAGGCAGAUGUAUGUAAGGAGGUAGAAGAGGUAAUUGUGCUGAGGUAGUAAUGAGGUCAUGUAAUGAAUUAAGCCAAGGUGAAUUAGUUUAAUUGAAACAUAGCAUGGAAAAAAUUUUUUAGGCAGGGAAUGGAGUAAGUGAGGUAUGGCUAUCCCAGAAAUGCUGGCCAGACCUUCGGAAAAAGUUUUAAAGGCUGGAUUAUGAAGGAGGUGUCUCAAGCAAGAAGAUUUUCACUAAGUAAAGGAAUUGUGCCCUGUGUCAUCUUGUCUGCAAAUCCUUUAUGUCCAUAUGUAUGAUCGCUCUAUAUAAUUUUCUGUCACCAUGUAAAAUGCCUAUUGCAGAAAGCCCUUUAGUCAAAGGAAGAUGUUCCAGUUAUUACUUGAUUUGUCUUUUGAUGUGAACCCCUUGGAAGGAAACUUGCCAUGCUGUUUGGACUCAGCGAACCCAGAUAGAAAUACGCAGUAGAGGAAUACUACAGGACACAGAAGCAGGAAAAAAAUAACCUGCCCUGCUUUGUCAUGCUGAGAGACUGGUUAUUGACAGCUGCAAUCAUGGUUUUUCUGCUGGAUGUUCAGCUGAUGAAAGACAUAUCCCAGUGUUUCCUGAAGAAACACUGCAGAGAUCAACCAGGUGAAAUUUUGUAACUAAGGAUGGAUGAAAAUUGUGGUGAAGUCAAGGUUUUCUAGCAAUAAAAUUCUACAGAAAAGACAGGAUUUUCUUUAAACAUGGGGGAAUAGAAGCUUAUGAACUUUAUCAUUUUAAGCUCACUUUGCAUUGUUGAGGACUGCCUAUAAAAGAAGGGACCCCAAAAGUUGUUGAAACUGUCUGAGUCUGUAUUUCAGGUUCUCAUUUGAUAGAUUUACACAUGUGGCUUUCUUAAUAUUAGGUGUGUUAUAACUGCGUUUUAAAAGGGGGCCUCAGCCCUGGUAGCAUAUUCCAAGAUCUUCCACUUGAAUUUGAUUCUCAUUCAUCAAAUGCUAUUAUUAUUUCCCUGUAACUGUCUUAAAUUUGAACCUUUGAUACACAAACUUAUUUAAUUGUGUUUUAUCAGGCUUGAGUAGGGGAGGAAGUAACUUGAGAGCAAAAGGGUAGCGGAGGAGGCUUUGCAGUUGGGACCCAGCUUGAAACAUGAGCCAGAGGCGACUGCAGCUCACCCGUCCUGCUCUAACACUGAUUUCUUGCAGCUUUUUGCUGCUAAAGCAAAACUGGUCCAUUUCUAAAACACAACAGCAGAUUUGUGGCUGGUGUUUCCACAUUGUUACUUUUCAAGAUUUAUUUUAAAUAUUUUCUGUGGCUUCUGGUAUUGCCAAUUACUUGAUCACAUAAGCUACAGCCGUAAGUCAGCCAUAUAUGAUGGAUCCUCUAUGCUCAAGGUAACUAGAAGCACCAGGACAGCUAUCAUUUUUAAGUGCCCCUAAUGGAAGAUGUCAAAAUUAGUUGCCUUUUAUCUAAUGAAUGUUUUACUGUUUUGUCUUCAGGAACAUGGAGAUGGUGGAGAGAGCCCUGAGAGAAAUGACAGGGACUCUUGGAAUGAAAAAAGCCACCUUGGGGUACAGGGUGUUGAAGACUGUCGUGGUUUAACCCCAGCCGGCAACUAAGCCUCACACGACUGCUCACUCGCUCCUCUGCGGUGGGAUGGGGGAGAGAAUCAGGAGAGUAAAAGUGAGAAAACUCGUGGGUUGAGAUAAAGACAGUUUAAUAGUGAAACCCAAGUUUCAGAAGUGCAGUCACUGAAAGCAGACGUUUCAUCCAUCUACAUGCAAAUGGCCACUAUAAACCAUGCUUGAGUCUCACAGGGAAGAUUGGAAGUGACACAGCCUCCAAGCAAAACUGGGAGCUCAGCCUAUUUCUGCAUAACAAGUGCUCAUCAUUUUCUCAUCUUUUGUCAUCCAAGAGCAAUCAUGACUACAUGCAAACUACCACUGAUAAUUGACGAACAAGCCCAUGGGGCCCCAGCCUAACUGCUUCUCUCUGUCACCCCAGGGCUUGAGGUUGCAGGACAAGCAGCAGAUUCCUGUUGCUGAUGUCUCUGGUCUGACGUGGCAGCAGUUCUAGAUGCGUCUCCAAAAGAGGCAGCUGAGCUAUGAUCCACCCAUCCAAUUCCCAUGCUUCAGCAGUUCUAAUUGGGGAUCCAGCCCUGUUUUUGCCAGGUGCUGCACAAAUAUGAAAUAGAAGAUGGUCUUUACCAGCAAGAACCUACCUUUAGUUCAGAAGAGAUGAUAGCAGGUUGUAUGCUGCGAGUGAAAGGGCAGUGCUCAUGCCUCCAUGUGAGCUCGGAAGGAGAGAGCUGAGUCUUUGGUAGGGCACGGCCUCGCCAAACCCCAAAGUUCAAGCCCCUUGUGACCAAACUGGCUUUGGACUCGGGCGGUCUUCUGCAGCUUAAGGCAUGACAGGUCAUUUCUGGCACUUCUCCCCCCUGCUGAAAGACAGAUAUUUUCUAGUUGUUGACAAAAAAGAACAAAAAAGUAAUACUGGAUCCCAGUCUAUGUCCUUGUUAAGCAUUUAAAAUACCUCUUCUGGAGAACAGCGAGCUCAUCAUCAAACCUUUCAUCAAACCUGCAAAGAGGGGUUCUCCUGUGACAUUGUAAGAAGUCUACACUAAAUGCUUUGACAAAAGCCAUGCACGCUCCGAAAUGAAAUCUUAUUUACUGUGGUGUUAUUAAAGUGCUAAAUAAACA
Molecule: long non-coding RNA, 4136 nt
Organism: Egretta garzetta (little egret)
Lineage: Eukaryota; Metazoa; Chordata; Aves; Pelecaniformes; Ardeidae
Exons: 4
Source: RefSeq, a predicted model, not a curated record